RNAcentral lists this ribosomal RNA (434 nucleotides) under uncultured bacterium. RNAcentral describes it as "partial 16S ribosomal RNA". It matches the Rfam family "Bacterial small subunit ribosomal RNA", at positions 29 to 507 of the family's 1533-position model. The record is from RNAcentral.
AGCGAACGCUGGCGGCAGGCCUAACACAUGCAAGUCGAACGAACCUUUCGGGGUUAGUGGCGGACGGGUGAGUAACACGUGGGAACGUGCCUUUAUGUUCGGAAUAACUCAGGGAAACUUGUGCUAAUACCGAAUGUGCCCUUCGGGUGAAAGAUUAAUCGCCUUUAGAGGGGCCCGCGUCUGUUUAGCUAGGUGGUUGAGGUAAUGGCUCACCAAGGCUACGAUCAGUAGCUGGUCUGAGAGGAUGAUCAGCCACAUUGGGACUGAGACACGGCCCAAACUCCUACGGGAGGCAGCAGUGGGGAAUCUUGCGCAAUGGGCGAAAGCCUGACGGAGCCAGGCCGCGUGAAUGAUGAAGGUCUGAGGAUUGUAAAAUUCUUUAACCGGGGACGAUAAUGACGGUACCCGGAGAAGAAGCCCCGGCUAACUUCGUG